CAGCAUUUACUUCGGUAAAUGGCGACCGGCGCACGGGUGAGUAACGCGUAUGCAACCUACCUUUAACUGGGGCAUAGCUCGAGGAAACUCGAAUUAAUUCCCCAUAGUACAUUCUAUUAUCUCAUGAUAUAAAUGUUAAAGAUUUAUCGGUUAAAGAUGGGCAUGCGUCUGAUUAGUUUGUUGGUAAGGUAACGGCUUACCAAGACUACGAUCAGUAGGGGGUCUGAGAGGAUGAUCCCCCACACUGGUACUGAGACACGGACCAGACUCCUACGGGAGGCAGCAGUAAGGAAUAUUGGGCAAUGGGCGCAAGCCUGACCCAGCCAUGCCGCGUGCAGGAUGACGACCCUAUGGGUUGUAAACUGCUUUUAUAUAGGAAGAAAACACUCUUGCGAGAGAAACUGACGGUACUAUAUGAAUAAGGACCGGCUAACUCCGUGCCAGCAGCCGCGGUAAUACGGAGGGUUCAAGCGUUUUCCGGAUUUAUUGGGUUUAAAGAGUGCGUAGGUGGUUUAUUAAGUCAGUGGUGAAAUCCUGCAGCUCAACUGUAGAACUGCCAUUGAUACUGGUAAACUUGAGUUUGGUUUAGGUAAGUGGAAUUUAUGAUGUAGCGGUGAAAUGCAUAGAUAUCAUAAGGAACACCAAUAGCGAAGGCAGCUUACUGGACCACAACUGACACUGAGGCACGAAAGCGUGGGGAGCGAACAGGAUUAGAGACCCUGG
This 723-nucleotide ribosomal RNA is filed under the name uncultured Bacteroidota bacterium. RNAcentral's name for it is "bacterial SSU rRNA". It matches the Rfam family "Bacterial small subunit ribosomal RNA", at positions 69 to 790 of the family's 1533-position model. The record is from RNAcentral. Lineage: Bacteria; Pseudomonadati; Bacteroidota.